Molecule: ribosomal RNA, 766 nt
Filed under: uncultured Chryseobacterium sp.
Lineage: Bacteria; Pseudomonadati; Bacteroidota; Flavobacteriia; Flavobacteriales; Weeksellaceae
Description: bacterial SSU rRNA
Rfam family: Bacterial small subunit ribosomal RNA
Source: RNAcentral
CAGGUCACUAUGUUUUAACUGACGCUGAUGGACGAAAGCGUGGGGAGCGAACAGGAUUAGAUACCCUGGUAGUCCACGCCGUAAACGAUGCUAACUCGUUUUUGGGUUUUCGGAUUCAGAGACUAAGCGAAAGUGAUAAGUUAGCCACCUGGGGAGUACGUUCGCAAGUAUGAAACUCAAAGGAAUUGACGGGGGCCCGCACAAGCGGUGGAUUAUGUGGUUUAAUUCGAUGAUACGCGAGGAACCUUACCAAGGCUUAAAUGGGAAUUGACAGGUUUAGAAAUAGACUUUUCUUCGGACAAUUUUCAAGGUGCUGCAUGGUUGUCGUCAGCUCGUGCCGUGAGGUGUUAGGUUAAGUCCUGCAACGAGCGCAACCCCUGUCACUAGUUGCCAUCAUUAAGUUGGGGACUCUAGUGAGACUGCCUACGCAAGUAGAGAGGAAGGUGGGGAUGACGUCAAAUCAUCACGGCCCUUACGCCUUGGGCCACACACGUAAUACAAUGGCCGGUACAGAGGGCAGCUACUAUGCGAAUAGAUGCGAAUCUCGAAAGCCGGUCUCAGUUCGGAUUGGAGUCUGCAACUCGACUCUAUGAAGCUGGAAUCGCUAGUAAUCGCGCAUCAGCCAUGGCGCGGUGAAUACGUUCCCGGGCCUUGUACACACCGCCCGUCAAGCCAUGGAAGUCUGGGGUACCUGAAGUCGGUGACCGUAACAGGAGCUGCCUAGGGUAAAACAGGUAACUAGGGCUAAGUCGUAACAAGGUAACCA